AGCAGUAGCCGCGGGAAUACGAAGGGGGCUAGCGUUGCUCGGAAUUACUGGGCGUAAAGGGAGCGUAGGCGGAUCGUUAAGUUGGGGGUGAAAGCCCGGGGCUCAACCUCGGAAUUGCCCUCAAUACUGGCGAUCUUGAGUAUGGAAGAGGUAUGUGGAACUCCGAGUGUAGAGGUGAAAUUCGUAGAUAUUCGGAAGAACACCAGUGGCGAAGGCGACAUACUGGUCCAUUACUGACGCUGAGGCUCGAAAGCGUGGGGAGCAAACAGGAUUAGAUACCCCAGUAGUCCCUGUCUCUUAUAC
Molecule: ribosomal RNA, 303 nt
Filed under: uncultured bacterium
Lineage: Bacteria
Description: partial 16S ribosomal RNA
Rfam family: Bacterial small subunit ribosomal RNA
Source: RNAcentral